RNAcentral lists this long non-coding RNA (1499 nucleotides) under Macaca fascicularis (crab-eating macaque). RNAcentral's name for it is "lncRNA (ENSMFAG00000062933.1)". Lineage: Eukaryota; Metazoa; Chordata; Mammalia; Primates; Cercopithecidae. The record is from RNAcentral.
GCUCUAGCUCUAUCUUUCUCCGGACCCCGAAGCUUAAGAAUUAUCCGCCUCACUCUCUUUUUUAGAAAUAGGAGGGAAAGGUAGAGUGGAAAUUGAUUUCUUGCAGAGACUGAGGCUCUGAAUGAUAGAGGGAAUAAACAUUUGCCCUGGAUAAAAAUGUUCUUGGCUGUUGUCCAGCUCUAAUGAUGUCCUAGAGCAGAAGUGUUUCUUCUGUUGUCUCAUUUUACCAAGAGGAUGAUGUCUGUUCCCAGCUACUCGGGAGGUUGAGGACAAUCGCUUGAACCAGGGAGUCGGAGGUUGCUGUGAGCCAAGAUGGCGCCACUGCACUCGAGCCUGGCAACAGAGUGGGACUCUGUCUCAAAACCAACCAAACAAACUACACACACACACACACACACACACACACACACACACACACACAUGUAUAUAGAUGUAUUUUUUCUCAGUAUUCUUUUUGUACAUGCAUUGAGUUGCUGUUCCCUAGACUAUUUUCCCUCAUGGAAUAUAAACUGUCGAUAAUUUCAGUCACCUGCAAUGUCAUACUCCAUCAUAUCACCUGUCUGUUCUACUUUUUAAAUUCCCUAAAAAUGUAGAAAUAGGAUUAUUUCAAGAGGAAAGCUGUCCUCUGAAAAUAAGAAGUUUAAUUAGACUCUAACACAUAUCUGAAACUGUACACACAGAAACACACACACACGGUAUGAAAGAAACGCAGAGACGAAGACAACACUUUUUAGUGGAAUCAUUGUGUAAAACACACAUACAAAAACAUCCCGCCACACGUGUUCCAUUAGUAUAAAAACAGACAAGCAAAAAACUUUCCAAUUUGAAUAAAAGCUACAAGACUUCAACCAUUUAGAAAGGUUCAGUGUUCUGGAGUGGCUUGAGCCAUACCAGUGUUUUUUCAUAUGCAUCAAUAUUUGUGUGUUACAUACAAGCCAUUUUUGUUUUGAAAAUGCCAAUUCUAAAGUCGAAUAGCAACACUAAAAUCGAUUUGGCACUAAUCAUUACUUCAAAAGGGUUAUAAUUCCUGGAUUAAACAAGAUGAAUGUAGAAUCAAAUCAAACAUUUAAAAAUAUCUAUAGUAUAUGCUUUUAAAAUAAAAAUGUUUGCACUAAUCUGAAAAAUUAGCGCUUUAUAGAAGGAUUUCUAGAACCGUAUUUUAGCAGCAUUCGUAUUGCUGUGUGUGUUUUUGUGUGAUUAAUAAUUAGUUUUCAGGCCAGGCAUGGCAGCUCAUGCCUGUAAUCCCAGGCCAACGCAGGCAAAUUGCCUGAGGUCGGGAGUUCGAGACCAGCCUGGCCAACAUGGUGAAACCCUGUCUCUACUAAAAACACAAAAAUUAGCUGGGAGUAGUGGCAGGCACCUGCAAUCCCAAUUACUUAGGAGGCUGAGGCAGAAUAAUUGCUUGAACCCAGGAGGCGGAGGUUGCAGUGAGCCGUGAUCAAACCAUUGCACUCCAGCCUGGGCAAUAGAACAAGACUCUUUCUCAAGAAAAAAAAAAA